AUUGUACUCGGAGGACAUUAUCGAGUUUUGAACGGGUUGUAGCUGGCCUCUCACGAGGCAUGUGCACGCCUGGCUCAUCCACUCUUAACCUCUGUGCACUUUAUGUAAGAGAAAAAAAUGGUGGAAGCUUCCAGGAUCUCGCGAGAGGUCUUCGGUUGAACAAGCCGUUUUUCUUUCUUAUGUUUUACUACAAACGCUUCAGUUAUAGAAUGUCAACUGUGUAUAACACAUUUAUAUACAACUUUCAGCAACGGAUCUCUUGGCUCUCGCAUCGAUGAAGAACGCAGCGAAAUGCGAUAAGUAAUGUGAAUUGCAGAAUUCAGUGAAUCAUCGAAUCUUUGAACGCACCUUGCACUCCUUGGUAUUCCGAGGAGUAUGCCUGUUUGAGUCUCAUGGUAUUCUCAACCCCUAAAUUUUUGUAAUGAAGGUUUAGCGGGCUUGGACUUGGAGGUUGUGUCGGCCCUUGUCGGUCGACUCCUCUGAAAUGCAUUAGCGUGAAUCUUACGGAUCGCCUUCAGUGUGAUAAUUAUCUGCGCUGUGGUGUUGAAGUAUUUAUGGUGUUCAUGCUUCGAACCGUCUCCUUGCCGAGACAAUCAUUUGACAAUCUGAGCUCAAAUCAGGUAGGACUACCCGCUGAACUUAAGCAUAUCAAAAAAGGGGAAGGAAAAA
Molecule: ribosomal RNA, 669 nt
Filed under: Irpex lacteus
Lineage: Eukaryota; Fungi; Basidiomycota; Agaricomycetes; Polyporales; Irpicaceae
Description: eukaryotic LSU rRNA
Rfam family: 5.8S ribosomal RNA (bases 240-393)
Source: RNAcentral